Molecule: transfer RNA, 86 nt
Filed under: Nitrosomonadaceae bacterium
Lineage: Bacteria; Pseudomonadati; Pseudomonadota; Betaproteobacteria; Nitrosomonadales; Nitrosomonadaceae
Description: tRNA-Leu
Rfam family: tRNA
About the family: Transfer RNA (tRNA) molecules are approximately 80 nucleotides in length.
Source: RNAcentral
GCGGGUAUGGUGGAAUGGCAGUCACGCCAGGCUUAGGACCUGGUGGUCGCAAGACCGUGGGGGUUCAAGUCCCUCUACCCGCACCA